GAUGAACGCUGGCGGCGUGCCUAACACAUGCAAGUCGAGCGAUUCUCUUCGGAGAAGAGCGGCGGACGGGUGAGUAACGCGUGGGUAACCUGCCCUGUACACACGGAUAACAUACCGAAAGGUAUGCUAAUACGAGAUAAUAUGCUUUUGUCGCAUGGCAGAAGUAUCAAAGCUCCGGCGGUACAGGAUGGACCCGCGUCUGAUUGGCUAGUUGGUAAGGUAACGGCUUACCAAGGCGACGAUCAGUAGCCGACCUGAGAGGGUGAUCGGCCACAUUGGAACUGAUACACGGUCCAAACUCCUACGGGAGGCAGCAGUGGGGAAUAUUGCACAAUGGGCGAAAGCCUGAUGCAGCAACGCCGCGUGAGCGAUGAAGGCCUUCGGGUCGUAAAGCUCUAUCCUCAAGGAAGAUAAUGACGGUACUUGAGGAGGAAGCCCCGGCUAACUACGUGCCAGCCGCCGCGGUAA
This 468-nucleotide ribosomal RNA is filed under the name uncultured bacterium. Its description in RNAcentral is "partial 16S ribosomal RNA". It matches the Rfam family "Bacterial small subunit ribosomal RNA", at positions 28 to 523 of the family's 1533-position model. The record is from RNAcentral.